This 387-nucleotide unclassified non-coding RNA is filed under the name Hevea brasiliensis (rubber tree). Lineage: Eukaryota; Viridiplantae; Streptophyta; Magnoliopsida; Malpighiales; Euphorbiaceae. The record is from RNAcentral.
GUCUGCAGGACACAACAUACGACAGUUCAGUCAACUUUUCAAUAACAUCAUGUAUCUUAGCUAUGAUCUUGUGUUGGAAAUGAUGUUUACAAUAAAACUCGAGGAACCUGUUGUUCACAAUAAAUUAAACAAAUUAAUAAUUUCUUUUAAAGUCACACUGUCCCGUUGACCAAAUAAUUGACACACUUUUCAGUGGAACUACUUUCUACCAAGAAAUGUUCCCUUUCCAGCAUCACAGGGGUCGGACACUCACUGAUGAGAGGCGUCCCCCUGGUGAUGGGCAGCAGGUUGUUCAUGAUGAGCAGGAUGAGGGUCAUCUUGAAGGAGGAGCGGAUUGGGGCCCAAUAAUACUCAAGAUUAGCCGUAUGAUACAUCUUACUGUGUGGU